GGCACUAUAGCCAAGUGGUUACGGCGACAGAUUCGAAUGCUUAAUGUGUUAUCUGUUCCUCUCUGAGGGCGCAGGUUCAAAUCCUGCUGGUGUCG
This 95-nucleotide transfer RNA is filed under the name Armillaria borealis. It matches the Rfam family "tRNA". From Rfam's summary of the family: Transfer RNA (tRNA) molecules are approximately 80 nucleotides in length. RNAcentral also lists the same sequence under 3 other names. The record is from Rfam by way of RNAcentral. Lineage: Eukaryota; Fungi; Basidiomycota; Agaricomycetes; Agaricales; Physalacriaceae.